Molecule: long non-coding RNA, 1329 nt
Organism: Homo sapiens (human)
Lineage: Eukaryota; Metazoa; Chordata; Mammalia; Primates; Hominidae
Source: Ensembl
AGCAACCUGCUCAGGUCCCCUUCCAUGGUGUGGAAGCUUUGUUCUUUCGCUGUUCACAAUGAAUCUUGCUGCUGCUCACUCUUUGGGUCCGCACUAGCUUUAUGAGCUGUAACGCUCACUGCGAAGGUCUGUGGCUUCACUCCUGAAGUCAGCAAGACCACGAACCCACCGGAAGGAGGAAACAACUCCGGAAGCACCACGUUUAAGAGCUGUAACACUCACUGCGAAAGUCUGCAGCUUCACUCCUGAAGUCAGCAAGACCACAAACCCACCGGAAGGAAGAAAUUCCAGACACAUCUAAACAUUGGAAGGAACAAACUCCAGACACACUAUCUUUAAGAACUGUAACACUCACCGCGAGGGUCUGUGGCUUCAUGCUUGAAGUCAGCCGGACCAAGAACCCACCGGAAAGAACCAAUUCCUGACACAAUCGUUCUUCAUGGUCUAUGACUCCAAGGUCUGAAAUGAUCUCAUUUACCCCACAUGAUAGAUGUGGCCCUUCCAGAUGAGGAGUUCAACAAGACUACAUGGUAGAGCAGCCAGAGAACCCACUGGAAAUAAGGCUCAAAAUAAGGAGUAACCACAAAAUAAGAGACAGAGAAUGCUGAUUCACUAUGCAGUGAAACAUGCCUAACGUGUCAACAGCUAAAUGCCCGGUGACAGUGUGGUUGUCUGGGCAACAGAAGAAGUCACCCACGCAAACACUUAAAGGACCAUACUUAUUUUACAAGAGGAACAGUUUUCAAUGGAAUGGAUAUUAAAACACACACCUGGAUCCCUUUACCACAGGUGCUUUGAGAGGCACCAUCAAGGACAGUGAGCUAACGCAGGAAGGCAGUGUGGAGCUGCUUGAUGGCCUCUGAGUCACAUUGCUUCCCUAGAAGCUUAUUGGCCAGAGUUGCAAAGUUCUGCUGCCUGAGCCAUCUGAGGGCUGUGUCUGCUGUGCUGGUGCCCAUCCAUGUUGGAGCAGAAAGGACCCUAGCUGAAGCUCAGAGGCUGUGACUGGAGCCACGACAGGAAGGGCAGGCUGCUGCUUCUGCAGAACCAGAGGCCUGGGGGAGAGGCCCCAGAGCUCAACACAAAAGCCCCAGAUGAAGCCCUAGUGAGGCCAAGUCCUGUCUGAGACUCUGCCGUUGGGGUUGCCUGUGAGUGGCUGACACUGACCCCUGCCCCCAGCCCCUUUAUUGGGAUUCUGCUGUUCUCAUCCCUGUCCCCUGGUGCAGCUACACACAUUUGCUCAGAAAGAGAGCCCCCAGCAGCUUAGAUUUCAAGAUUUUCUUGUUGGAAAAACACAACUUUUGGAGAAAAUAAAAAUGGCAAAAUGCUAAA